Empidonax traillii (willow flycatcher) is the source of this 356-nucleotide long non-coding RNA. RefSeq lists it as uncharacterized. The transcript has 3 exons. The record is from RefSeq and is a predicted model, not a curated record. Lineage: Eukaryota; Metazoa; Chordata; Aves; Passeriformes; Tyrannidae.
UUUUAUCACCAUGUGAAGUACUGAACAGAUCUUGAGAGUGAAUUUCAUGCCUCUUACCGGCUGCUAGUGAAAGUGUCCCCUGAAUUGCCUGCAGCCUGAUGGUAACUGUCCUGCAGAACCAGCACCAGCAACCUACAGGCAAGCUCUUCCAACACUGGUGUGCCAAUAGGUCUGGAAAAGGUGGAUUAUUUAUUUCCAAGAGAACAUUAUAAAUCACCAGGUGUCACUGAGAAAGUGAUGGAGGAAUACACAUUUCCAGUUUUGGACAGAAAGAAGCAGCAGGGACAACGAUGCAAGAGAUCUUUCAAAGCAUGUGAAGUUUUCUAUAAAUUAAGAAAUGAAGACAAUGAGGUCAC